Molecule: transfer RNA, 72 nt
Filed under: Haemaphysalis longicornis (longhorned tick)
Lineage: Eukaryota; Metazoa; Arthropoda; Arachnida; Ixodida; Ixodidae
Rfam family: tRNA
About the family: Transfer RNA (tRNA) molecules are approximately 80 nucleotides in length. Their secondary structure includes four short double-helical elements and three loops (D, anti-codon, and T loops).
Source: Rfam by way of RNAcentral
GGGGGUGUAGCUCAGUGGUAGAGCGUUCGUUUAGCAUGCGAAAGGCCCCGGGUUCGAACCCCGGCACCUCCA